RNAcentral lists this unclassified non-coding RNA (192 nucleotides) under uncultured Veronaea. RNAcentral describes it as "sequence contains ITS1". The record is from RNAcentral. Lineage: Eukaryota; Fungi; Ascomycota; Eurotiomycetes; Chaetothyriales; Herpotrichiellaceae.
AAGAGUUAGGGUCUUCUAGGCCCGAUCUCCCAACCCUUUGUUUACCAAACCAUUUUGUUGCUUCGGCGAGCCCGUCUUCACGGACCGCCGGGGGACCUCUCUCGGUCUCCUGGCCCGCGCUCGUCGGUGGCCCAACCUUCAAAUUCUUAACUAAAUGUGUCAUGACUAAGUACAAAUUUUUUAAUUAAAGCA